RNAcentral lists this ribosomal RNA (609 nucleotides) under Saccharomyces cerevisiae (brewer's yeast). Its description in RNAcentral is "eukaryotic LSU rRNA". It matches the Rfam family "Eukaryotic large subunit ribosomal RNA", at positions 37 to 658 of the family's 3401-position model. The record is from RNAcentral. Lineage: Eukaryota; Fungi; Ascomycota; Saccharomycetes; Saccharomycetales; Saccharomycetaceae.
UGCAUAUCAAAAUAAGCGGAGGAAAAGAAACCAACCGGGAUUGCCUUAGUAACGGCGAGUGAAGCGGCAAAAGCUCAAAUUUGAAAUCUGGUACCUUCGGUGCCCGAGUUGUAAUUUGGAGAGGGCAACUUUGGGGCCGUUCCUUGUCUAUGUUCCUUGGAACAGGACGUCAUAGAGGGUGAGAAUCCCGUGUGGCGAGGAGUGCGGUUCUUUGUAAAGUGCCUUCGAAGAGUCGAGUUGUUUGGGAAUGCAGCUCUAAGUGGGUGGUAAAUUCCAUCUAAAGCUAAAUAUUGGCGAGAGACCGAUAGCGAACAAGUACAGUGAUGGAAAGAUGAAAAGAACUUUGAAAAGAGAGUGAAAAAGUACGUGAAAUUGUUGAAAGGGAAGGGCAUUUGAUCAGACAUGGUGUUUUGUGCCCUCUGCUCCUUGUGGGUAGGGGAAUCUCGCAUUUCACUGGGCCAGCAUCAGUUUUGGUGGCAGGAUAAAUCCAUAGGAAUGUAGCUUGCCUCGGUAAGUAUUAUAGCCUGUGGGAAUACUGCCAGCUGGGACUGAGGACUGCGACGUAAGUCAAGGAUGCUGGCAUAAUGGUUAUAUGCCGCCCGUCUUGAA